Long non-coding RNA from Rhinolophus ferrumequinum (greater horseshoe bat), 4039 nucleotides. RefSeq lists it as uncharacterized. The transcript is spliced from 7 exons. The record is from RefSeq and is a predicted model, not a curated record. Lineage: Eukaryota; Metazoa; Chordata; Mammalia; Chiroptera; Rhinolophidae.
GGCUGCCCUUGCCCGGGGGUCCUAUGGAGGACGAGACUUCUCCGGGACCCUGGGCUCUGCGCCCUAUUCUCUCUGGCUUUCCUUUCGCGCUCUCUCCGCUCUCUCUUCACACCGCCCGGGGAGGGGCUGGCGUGGGCAGUUACCCGCCCGCCGAGUGUGUCCGGGGUGUGUAGGAUUGGGGUGGGGUGAGGGUGGCUCGGGGACUGCCGAGUCCAGUCCUUUCCCCGAGGUUGCCUGGGGGUGGGCCGAGCCUCCAGAGCCCCAGCCCUGUUCCGGCCCUGCUCGGGCUCUGCUCUGGUCCAGCUCGCGUUCCCGAACUGGAUUCUCCUGGGCGUGCUUGCUCACUUGGAAGCGCCCGAGCCGCGGAGGCAACCACGGUUCUCGGGACGCGGCGUCAGCCGUUCCAACUACUUUGAGCCUGUCCUGUCCGAAGCCUGCUUGUUUGAGGACUCUUUCGGGGUCCUGCUGGACUUGUGUUACACACUCCUCUGCAGGGAACCAAGAUCUCUCAGAGAGGUUUGGACUUUCUGUUGAGAAUUCUACAUCCUGCGUUUGCCCUCACGCUCAGAGUGGAGCUUGGUUGACCUGUUGAUGGACUUUGAGGCGCAUGUGGUACCGUGUCCUGUCACUUACUCUGCAAAAACUUUGAUUGCAUUGGCACCACAGUAUCAUCACAGGCUUUAUGUCUUAUUCCUCUUAUCAAUUUUUACACUGAAUAAAGGAGGAGAGGAGGAGAAAAAAGCUUAACCCCAAAGUACAAGACUUUAAAAAGGGCAGGAGACUUCUUGGUGCCUCUCAGAUGCCUACCACCUGACUAUUCUGCCUGCGUUAAGGCAGAUUCUGGAAAAGCUUCACCUUUCCCUGCCUUUGGACAUGUGCUUGGAGCCUUUUCUCAGAGCCCACACUCUCUCCUUUGUCCCUGGGCACCAUCCACUUGGCUCCGGACCAUGCCUUGCCUGGCUGAGCUGCCCUCGGAGCUGUCAACACGAGAAACUCCGAUAACACGUUUGGAAGAACAGGUGAGCAAGGAUGAGAGAAUUUCAGAGGCCUGGGCCAGCACCUCCACCCCUUCCUGGUUUAACUUUUGACGGGAUCUUCACAUCUGCCUGAGCAGUGUUGCUUGUGGUUUCAGAAGCCCCAGUUCCUGCACCUGCUACACGCCUCUUCCCAAAGGGCAGAAGACUUUGCUUGAUGAGAGGACUGUAAGGCCCAACCUGUCCCUGGAACCCCCUCCUGGGCUCCUGUUCUCCAGGAGGCUGCAUUCCCAUCCAUAAACCUCCUCCUCUCCAGAUGUUUAUCAGAGGCCUGGAUGAAAGCUGUCCAUGUUGUAAAUCUCUCUCUGUGGCUGUCAGGCCCCAGGGCAGCUGAAGAAGGUUGACAGCCCUUUGGGCCACAAAGGAAAAAAUUUGCUCUACUCCACCUACUCCCAUCUCUGCCAAGAAGCUGUCCUCUUAGGAGCCACUGCUGGCCUUCCAUUCCUGGGAGCUGCUUGUUUGUGCCAGGUGUUGUUGGAGACAGACGUCAGGACAAGAUGAACCUGGCUGCCAAUCACUGUUGAGAUUCCGGCAUAUUGGGCAGUCAGGAAGUGUAACCAUCACAACCAGGAAAUGAAACCCAGCAGACACCUUUAAAUUUCCCCUGGAGACAUACCCAGGAACUCUUGGACUGUCUUCGUCCCAUUUCUGCUUCAGGCCUUCGUGAACGCUCUUCCUGCCCUUCUGAAGAAUUUCACUCUACUCCUCAGCUGAUUUACACAGACCCAAACUCCAGGUCUCUUGUCGAUUCCUCAGAGAAGACUUUUCUGACGGUGGCCUCCUGACAGUCCCUCAACACCCCGUUUCCUUUUCCUUCAUAGCAAUAAUCGCAGUUUGUAAUUAUACAUGUACUUGUUUGGCUAUUACAUAAUUCUGUCUCCCUGAUAGAUGUGAAUGAUCUUCCAACAAGAGCAAAUCUGUUUUGAUGCAUGCUGUAUCCUACUCCGCCUGCCAAUCCCAACGUGCCCACCAUCCCCACCUCACCACCCUAUGACAGUGCCUGUCGUAGGUUAGGUGCUCAGUCAAUGCUUGUUGAAUGCAUGAGUGAAUCCAGUGCUUGCCUGGUGCAAAUGCAAAUGUGAAAGGUCACCACAUUGUAUCAUAUAGGAUUUGGAGGACUAGGGAGAGAACAUGCUUUUCAAUAAUCCCUUGGUGAGAGCAACUCUCCCAUUUGCACCCAUUUGUGAGUGCCCCAGAGGUGCACAGCACUCAGUGAUUGGCGACUGUGGUGAGGCCUGAGCUUGAAUUGUGCCUGCUCGGAUGCUGGUGUUUAAGGCAGCUUCCUGGGCUGGUGAGCAAGGUCGAUGUUCAGCGAAGUGUCUACACCUUGGUGUGGCUUUGCCACUCUCUACUUCCCAUACUGUGUGAAGAAGAGUUCAUUCUAGAGCCUCUGACAGCUGCCAAGCUGCCUGGGGUUGAACACCUCCAUGGAGCAGUGCCCUCUGCCUCUGAAUCAGCCUGUAGAGUGCUCUGGCUGUCACAUAGAUCUAACCUAAGUUAAAGACGGAUUUAGCUUCCUCAGAACCUUUAACUAUUGAUUGCCUUCUGGAGAUGUUUCUCCUCUGGAAGAACAUCAAGUUCAUUCAUUGGACGUUUAUUGAACACUGGCAUGGCAUACCAGGUCGGGAUCCAGGCAUUGGGUACAGACAGCCGAAUAAGACACAUGGAAGAGCUUAGCUGGGGAAUACCGAUGCAGCUUGCAAAGUAUUCUCGCACAAUUAUCUUAAUUCAUCACAGCAACCUUACGAUGUGCAUGUCAUUAAGCCUGUUUGAGGAUAUAGAAGCCUAAAGAUUAUACAUGACCACCCUGAAAUCCUGUAGUUUGCAUGUGAGGGAGCUACAGCUCAAUCUUGAGUCUCUUGACUCCAACCCGGUGUUCAUUUUACUACCUUGAACUAAAAGUAUGAAUGUAUUUCUGCUUCAUACAGCCCUGAGUACAUUUAAGGGUUGCUAAUAUACUCCCUGAAUUAUCUUUUCUCUGGAUAAACCUGGUCCCCAAAAGUGGGAUAAGACCUAGUGGAUCUUCCUUGGCACUACCCUUGUACGUUGCAGAAGAUCCUGGCUACUGUACAACACUCUUCCAUCUACAAUCAGCAGUGUCUCAGUCUAGAAAACUAGAUUCUGAAGAGGAAUUCAGGGUGGUUAUUCUCCCCUGUGCAGUGAAGCCAGUAGCUAAGCCUGGGACCUGUUUUCCAGGGCAAUUCAGGAGGUGCUUUCCCAGCAAGCAUUGUACAGUGAAAGAUAAUAGAUGCAUGGAUUUCCAGGGAGGGAUGUCUGACACUUGCGGCUUCUUUUAAACGACAUUUCUGUAAGGGCCCCAUCGACUUAAACAGUUCAUGUUAUAGAGCACUCAUCACUACCUGAGAAAUUUCAUUACACUUACAGGCAGAUCCAUUAGAAUUUUGGCUCAACAUAUCAGGAAAAAAAUUCUGGUCUUCUUGAGGCUGGGAAGUGUAAACACAGUGUCUCUCAACGAAGUGUGUGGGGAGUCCCAACCUGAGUGCAGGCUUGGGCGGGCAUGUCUGAGCAGGCCUGGUGAAAGGCUGGGUGGGCCUGCUCAAGGUUUAUUUGCAUGAAAAGCCUCCUGGGAUGGAGCUCAUCUAGGAGGAAGAAGGAACUAGGGACAAACAGCUGACCUAGUGACCAGGCUUUGAUUGCAGCAGGUGAGAGUGAUUCUGAACCUGGCUUCGUGUCUGCCUCAGAACUGGGUGUGGCUCACAACUCAGCUCUCACUGGACUUCUUCAGGAGACCUACAGAGAGUAAAAAGGCUGUAGAUAAAAAUGGAAAGAAUGGUUUAAACUAACAUGUGGUUGUCACUGGGGAACCAGCUUUGGGACUUGUCUUGAGAGAAAAACACACAACAGGAAGAGAGGCUCUCUCCCACCUCAUUGUGGACCCCUGAAGUUCUUUGGCUUUAGGGGGCCUUCAGCACCUCUGUGGUGGCAGGAGAGCAGCACCCAGCAGAGAGGGCAGUGUUUGGUGUCCUGGUUAGAGAACCUGGAUC